GAAUUGGAGAGAUUCAACAAAUUUCCACCAUGGAUCCAUUGAUCUCUAAGGAAAAUGGUGAUGAAGAACUCGAAGGAGCUGAGUGCUUUGCAUGUUGGAAGCCAUUACUAGAUUCUGUGUAUUUAUCUCCUGAUUGUGGAUUUUACCUACAUGCCAAAUGUUUAGAUCCAUGUGCAGUCAAUCACCUUCCCCUCCAUGAACAUCCUCUUAUUUUACAGUUUAAUAGUGAACGUCUCUCUUGCAAGAUAUGCCAAGAAACCCAACGUAGGGGAUUUGUUUAUUGUUGUUCAAUUUGCAAGUUUGCUCUUCACAUUGAAUGCGGGUCACCACCACCAAUUAUUGAAGAUAUAAGUCAUCAACACCCUUUCAUCCUAUUUUGGAGACGAGUCCCAUUCAUUUGUGAUGCAUGUGGCUCCGAAGGGAAUUAUGUAUCCUACAUUUGUUCUACAUGUGGCAUUAUAGUCCAUAGGAAAUGCAUUUCAUUGUCACGCACCCUCAAUCACCCAUGGCAUUUUGAGCACCCCAUUUCCCACACCUAUUUCCUUGGGCAAGAUAAGUUUAAAUCGUGGGAAUGCGGAAUUUGCCAUCUAGAGGAUGUGAAUUCAAAGCAUGGAAGCUAUUAUUGUUCUUAUUGUGAUUAUAUUGUCCAUGUGAAUUGUGCAAUAGAAGAAUAUAAUUGGUACAAUUUUGAUGAGUCAGGAAUAACAGAAGAGAGUCUUGAAGAAAAUUCAGCAUUGCUACCAUAUUCAAUCAUUAAGGAGAUCAAAGAUGGCGAAAAUGUGAUAGUCACUGAGAUAAAACAUUUUAGCCAUCAACACAACUUAAUUUUAAGUAAUGACAUCAAGGGUGACAAAUGUUGUGACGGUUGCGUGUUAUCCAUCUUUACUUCUUAUUACUAUUGUUCACAGUGUAAUUUCUUUCUUCACAAAUCCUGUGCUGAAUUACCAAUGAAGAAACGCUUGUGGCAAAACUCACACAUGAAGCCUCAUCAACUUAUUACUUCUGACGGCAUUUUCACAUGUAAUAUUUGUGAGAAUGAAACUAGUGGUUUUGCCUACACCUGUACUGAAUUCAACUGUUGUUACUGCCUUCGAUGUGCUUUAACAUCCGUUACUCUCAAAUGUCAAGGACAUGAACAUCCCCUCUCCUAUCAAAAGUAUCAAGGGUUGUGUAAAGCUUGUGGUCAGCCUUUCUACUAUGGAUAUGCAUUCAGAUGUAAGAGUUGCGAUUUCUCUUUGCAUAGUAAAUGUAUCGAUCUACCACUGAAAGCUCGACACAAAUCAGAUGUGCAUCAUUUCUCACUCACUUAUCGUGAUAAUAAUAAUUAUUCAGAAUCUCAUUAUUGUGACAUAUGUGAAGAAGAAAGAAAUCCAAACUAUUGGUUUUAUCAUUGUGCAAUAUGUGACAAUUCAGCUCAUCCUAAGUGUGUUCUUCCAAAAUACUCAUUUAUCAAGCUCGGAAGCAUCUACACAAAAGGAGAUCAUCCACAUCCUCUCACUUUUGUCCAAAAGGUUCAUUAUUAUCCAGAAUGCUAUAGCUGUGGUGAGCCUUGCCUUGAUCUAGCUCUUGAAUGUAAAACAAUUGGAUGUAACUACAUUGUCCAUUGGGAGUGUAUAAAACCUUGAUUUUAAUUUCUUUUUUUUCACCAUAGUUAUUGUUGUUGAAACAGUGAUGAGACAAAUAAGCAGUUUGAUGAUGGGACUCAAAAAUACUGCUUUGCUUGGUUGUUUCUAAACUAUUUGCAAUUGUUCUGUGUUAGUAUUUGUCUCCUUGUUUGGGUUAUUAUCAUUUGAGAAUUUUCAAAAUUCUGGCUUCAUAGAGGUAAUGUAACUGGAAUUAGUUUAUGAUAUUUGUAUUUCAUAUUUGAACACUGGAAGAUCACUUGGUAUCUGUAAGGUUCUCUACUUUUCAACUCAGUCAAAUGAUUUGCUAUCACUCAAAGACUUUAUUAAAUAUUUUAUCAGAUGUUAUGUGCUAUUUCAAAAAUGCUGAAUUGCCUCUUGAUUAUAUCGAUUUUUAUAGCAGUCUUGCACAUAAAUUUCCUCUUAAUAACAUUCAUUAUGUCCUUUUGUUGGUUCUUUAAUAAUAUUGUAUUCAUUAUGGAUGAAUAUGAAAGUAAUAGAGAGAGAGUACAAUCCAUUUCCUAAUCUUUGCUUGAACUUUUCAAGAAAUUUUGCUUAAACUCCAAUUUAUGUCAAAUUCUCUUUUGAAGAAAUUUCCAUGGUUAAACUAUGAACUUUGAGAAGAAGCUUUGAUUAAUGUAACAAGAGAUAAUUCUAUUUUAUAAAAUUAUUUUACUUCAAUUUUGUUAUUAAAUAUUAGUUAAGUCUUCAAUUUUCAAUUAUAAUUUAAUUAUUUUUAGUUGUUUUUAUAAUUAAGUUACUUUUUAGUGAGUUAUUUUAAUUUUAUAUUAUUUUUUUAUUUUAGUUAUUAUUUAUUGGUUUUUAUAUUUUUUUUGUAGGAUUAAAAGUGAUUGGGCUUAAUUUUGGAAAGUAAGGUGUUGAAAGACUCAAAAUCUGUUUGUAUAUGUUUCAGUAUUUUGGCCAUAUCUCGAGCUAUAGAACUCCAAAUGAUACGAUUCUUAGACCAUUAGAAAUCUAAGAGACAUGGCUACAACUUUUAUGAAGAUCACUUUGCUCAGUUCUGCUUCGAAGAUAGAGAAAAUCAUGUCGGAAAAUGACUAAAUGUACUGUACCGAGAAUGAAAAAUUGUAAAGAUUGAUAAUUGAUUUUUGGGCCUUUUAGUAUACUUUUAAGCCCAAUUAAACCCUAGGUCAACUUAAAGAACUUUAGGUUAAGCUCAUUAGUAUAAAUAGGAUAUGUUUAACAGCAUUAGGAGACAACUUUUAAGAGACUCAAGAAGUUACAAGUUGAGGUUGAUACUUGGAGAUCAAGGUGAAAAAUAUUGUUUUGUUUUAUUCCUUAGCUUUUAUCGUUCUUGAUACUUUCAAUGGUUGAAUUUUAUACAAUGUUAUUUGUUUUUGCAAUCAUAAGUAGCUAAAUUUCUUUUUCUAUGAUUGCAAUUGAACUCACAUGUAGUCUAAGUUUUUAAUCUUUGUCUUACUUAUUUUUAAUGAGAUUUGAAUUGUUUAUUCCAAUUUGUUCUUAAUACUUUUAAUUGCUUGGCCACCAAUUAAAUUGAUCUAGGAACUUAAACAAACUUGGGAAAUGGAGUUUAGAGUAGACUAAAAUUGGGAUAGCAUAUGAUCAUAUAAAUUGAUUUGCGUAUAGGAUAAGGAUAUAUCUAUAGGCCAUAUGUAGCCAAAUUAGAGCCUGAACUUAAUGAGUCUGUUUUAAUUUCAAUUCACAUAGGGAUAUAGUAUUUUGAUUAAAAUAGAUAUUUUUAUAGGACGAGUUGGGAGACCCUUAUAAAUAAUUGAGAACUCUAGGUUAGCAAUUCAACCCGUAAGAGAGGUAAAAUUUAAAUGAAAUGUGAGGGAUAUUGUAAUCCUAGGCUUGUUUGAUUUGAUAUUUUCUAAAGUUAUUAUUAUUUUGAUUUUUCUUAUUGGUUUUAAUUUUAGUUAAUUAGUUUUAGCUAAUUAAUUAAUUUUGAUUAUUUGGACAAGAUUAAAUUGUUCUAAUUUUAGUACUUAGUAAAGUUUUAGAUCAAUUCCCUAUGAGAUCGAUAUUCUACUUGUUAAUAUACUAUCUAUUCGAUACGUAUACUUAUAUAGUAAAAUUUUAACUAACAACAAGAAAGAUUUAUCAUUAUCUGCUGCAUUAAAUCAUUCUAUAUUAUUAUCAAAGAUGAUAACUAUACACCUAAAGUUGCCUAAGAAACAAGUACAAGAUCAAUGUCUAUAAAGGAAUGAAGAUUUUUACUAAAGAUAUUACAACAAUUGAAUGUCACUGACAUCUUCAUUUGACAGUUAUUAAGAGACAACUCUAGUGCCUUCUGUUCUCUCCUCCAAACAAUCUCCCCUGAAAAAGAAACAUAUUUUAUAACCAAAAAGAAAAUGUAAAAGAAACAGGAAAAUUAACUAAAAGGUUAGCUCUUGAUAAUACAACAACUAAUUAAUUUUGCUUGUGUUUAACGUUUCAUUAAUUAUAAAUUGCUCUUCUUGAUUCAAUGUUCUGUGAUUGAGGGUUAGGCCAUGUUUAAAAUUUUAGGUUCAUUCUUUGUUAAAUCUGCAGGGUAGAUUCCAGAGGUUAAAGAUUUUAUACUUGCGAGUAACAUAAUUGAUUAGAAUUAAACGAAACAAUUCAAACUUUUUUUUUUUGAAAAGCCAAAACAAUUCAAACAUAAUAAACUAAAGUUUAAAAUUUGAGUGAUCUCCCUCUCUAUUCCUAUCUCUCACCCUCUCUCCUCACUCAAACUUAAAACUUUGUUUGAUCAUAUUUGAAAUGUUUAGUUUAAUAAGGUUUCAAAGUGAAUACCAGAGAAGAGAGGAGUUGGAUGUAAUGGAAACCUUGAAGAUAAAGGCCUCGCUGUCUAUAAGAAUGAGAUUGACAACAUCAAAGCCAAAUACACCUAAUGAUACCUAGCUGCCUUGCUAAGCCUUCCAAGCAUCAGAAACAUGUCUAUUGCCUGUUGCAAGCAAGAUAUAGCUGCAAUAUAAUUAAAUAGGAAAAAGAUGAAGAAACCUUCUGGAGAGUGACUUUCGUUAAAGUUAAAUCUACACUUAACCUUAUUGAUGUUUUCUUCCGGUAUUCACAAGCAUCAGCCUAGGCUUCACCUUUCCUCUCUAACUAACCAAUAGCUCUCCAAAGAACAAAAAACAAUUUGAGUUCUGAGUUUCCUCAUUAGCUCACCUGUUUGAGAGAUGGGUGGUUGGGUUGGGACGACUUAGCCUUGGCCAAAGAUGCAGAGGAAGUCCUCAGAGUAAAGAAUGACAACGAAGAGAAUGAAAGCUAACAAGGUGUGGAAGUAAGGAGAGAGAUGUGCCUUCUUAAGAACAGAAGAGGAGGAAGGAGAGAGAAGAGGCUUCAUUUCUUUUCUUUUUCCUUUUUUUCCUUUCGGGUAUGGCCAACUAUAGAUGAAAUUGGGGUUUGAUUUUCGAAAGCUUAUAGUAUUGCUUUAAAUUAAGGAUCAUUUGCAUUAAUGAACAAAUAUAUAAAAGUUUCAAUGUUUCAUUAGGUUUAAAUAUGUUAAUUUUGUAUAUAUAUACAGUUAGCUUAUGUUGGAUAUAUAUGAUUAACUAAUAUGAAAAUUAAUUAAAUAACUAAUUGAAAAAUAAUACAGAGUAUUAAUUUAUUAGGUUUUUGUAAAAAAAUUACUCAUUUUGUUCUUUUUUCUUUGUCCUUUCUUUUCCGAGAUAUAUUAAAAUGGAAUUUCUUUUUUCCUAAUUGUUGGCUGUUAUGUUAAUGUUUUUUAACUGGAAUCCCCAUUGUCAUAUGGUCAGCUAGCUAAUAGUGAUGGAUCAAUUAAAAGAGUUUACAUAUAUAUAUCUAUAUAUAUAUAUAUCUAUAUAUAAUAUUUGUCNAUUAUAUUUAUGUACCUAAUUAAUGAUUGUAGUUAGUUGUCUAUAUAUGGAUUUUAAUUGGUUUGUUUAAUUUCCUUGUUUUGAUUGUCUUUUAACCCAUUGCAUUGAAUUAAGAACUUGCAACAUAUUUUUUUUUAUAAUAUAUAAUUUUUAGGUGAAUUUCAUUUUUUUUAUAAACAAUAACCUCAUGUCUUGAUUCUCCAUGCAUGUAUAAAUAUUCUAUGGUUGGUACUUAUUAUAAAAUGCAUUGACUCCCAAAAUUUUCUUAUAAAUUUUAAGACAAAUGGGGCUAAUCAAACAUAAAUAUAGCUAACAAACUACACAAUCAUUGCUUAAUUAUUUAGUAUUUUCUUCCUAACAUGAUUCAUGUUCCAUUUCUCACUAAAAUCUUUGUUUUCCUUUUUUUUCUUCACCGGGCAGCCCAAGUUUUAGAAUUUUGCUGAAAGUCUUCACCUCACGUCUUCACUAGGUUUGGUUGGAGUUAAGGCCCAAAUCAAUCUAGAAAGGUUCAUUCAGCCUGGGCCUAAAGCCCAUGUAAAUACAUCAAACAUUCUUCAUAUGGGCUGAAGGAAGCCCUAUAGAAGGAUCCGAAUUUCAACAACCAACCAGCCACUCGAAGCUUGACCAAUGUCAUUUCACAUAAAUUUCCUCUUAAAAACAUCCAUUAUGUUCUUCAAUCUAAUGAUGGAUGAAUCUGAAGGUAAUAGAAAGGAUUCAAUCCAUUUCCCAAUCUUUGCUUUGAACUUUCCAAGGAAUUUUGCUUAAACUCCACUAGAUCAAGCAAAGAAAAAGCAAACAAAAAAUUCAGAAUCAAACUAUUCACAAGUUAAAUCUUUACUCAUAAGCAAAACUUAACUAAACUGUAAACUCUGGACCAAAUUCUCUUUUGAAGAACUUUCCAUGGUUAAACUAUGAACCUUGAGAAGAAGCUAUGACUAGUGUCAUUGACUUCUUCAUUUGGCUUGGAAAACGGUUCACAUUGUCGAAAAAAUCAUGAGCAAUGAGAAGAUGAAGAAAAAGAUUAAGAGGCCGAAGAAAGGCAGAGUCAUGUGGUGUAUAAAUUGGAAACAAGAGUGGUAGUUGGCCAAAAAAAAAAUUUCUUGGAUUUAAUUAAUGAUAGUAGUUGGUGGACUUUAUAUUUAAUUAAUUCAUUUCUUGAAUUACGAUUAACUUUUUUUUGUCCUCUAACUUGUUCUGUAAUCUUAUGUAUUAAAUUAUUUUAUGCAAUUUUACACAUUUUAUAUGAGAGUUAGGUGAUAAUUUAUUUUGUAAAGAGUUAACCUCUUGUCUUGAUUGAUCUCCAUAUAAAUAAAAUAUUUAAUGCUUGGUCCAUGGACUAUUUUAUUCCCAACAUAAAAUAGUAUAAAUGUAAGACAAGUUGUGCUAAUUAAACAUGAAUGUUGCUGUCUAUACCAAACACUACUAUUAAUUACAUAAUCAUUACUAGGCUGUUAAGGCUUUAAUUAUUUAUUUUCUUUCUAAGAGGAUUUAUGUUCUAAGUUAGGACCGCCUCUAGAUCACUUGUUUUCUUGUUUACGGAAACGAGAAGAAAUGAGAGAUGGAGCUGCUUCAACAUUUUAGCCAUGAACAUCCGCUGAUUUUCAAUGAAGAGCAAGGCCAUGAAAGUGAGGAGCAGGCUUAUUGCUCAGGAUGUGGGGAGCUGGUGUCGGGUCCAAGCUUCAGCUGUGUGGAGUGUGGGUUUUACCUUGACAAGAAGUGCGCCGAGGCACCUUCACAGCUGAAUCACCCCUUUCAUCAUAACCACAGCCUUAAUCUUCUAGCAAGCUCGCCAUAUGAUGCAAGUCUGUCUGUUAUUUGUGAUUUCUGUGACGAAAUAUGUGACAGGUUUGUUUAUCAUUGUUCUUGUGAAUUAGACCUUCAUAUCAAAUGUGCUUUGUUUUCAUAUAACAUUGCUGAAAAAAGAAUUGGAGAGAUUCAACAAAUUUCCACCAUGGAUCCAUUGAUCUCUAAGGAAAAUGGUGAUGAAGAACUCGAAGGAGCUGAGUGCUUUGCAUGUUGGAAGCCAUUACUAGAUUCUGUGUAUUUAUCUCCUGAUUGUGGAUUUUACCUACAUGCCAAAUGUUUAGAUCCAUGUGCAGUCAAUCACCUUCCCCUCCAUGAACAUCCUCUUAUUUUACAGUUUAACAGUGAACUUCUCUAUUGCAAGAUAUGCCAAGAAACCCAACGUAGGGGAUUUGUUUAUUGUUGUUCAAUUUGCAAGUUUGCUCUUCACAUUGAAUGCGGGUCACCACCACCAAUUAUUGAAGAUAAAAGUCACCAACACCCUUUUGUCUUAUUUUGUAGACGUGUCUCAUUUAUUUGUGAUGCAUGUGGCACUGAAGGGAAUUAUGUAUCCUACAUUUGUUCUACAUGUGGCGUUAUAGUUCAUAGAAAAUGUAUUUCAUUGCCACGCACCCUCAAACACCCAAGGCAUUUUGAGCACCCUAUUUCCCACACCUAUUUCCUUGGGCAAGAUAAGUUUAAAUUGU
This 7911-nucleotide long non-coding RNA is filed under the name Theobroma cacao (cacao). Its description in RNAcentral is "long non-coding RNA (TCAC_LNC005722)". The record is from RNAcentral. Lineage: Eukaryota; Viridiplantae; Streptophyta; Magnoliopsida; Malvales; Malvaceae.